GUUCGAGUUCUUGAAGCGCCUCAAAUACAAUGAAGAUAUACUACUUCCUUACAACUUUCAAUAUCACCGGAUCUUGUGUAUCAUCAAAGUUGACGCCGGAACAGUUGAAAUACUGGACUCGCUACUCAAAGCAAAUAGUGAGUAUAACAUCUUGUUUGGGAUAGUCAACAGGGCUUAGGCAAGGUUCAUCAGCGUCACAGAAGGCGAAUGGAAACCA
Triticum aestivum (bread wheat) is the source of this 217-nucleotide long non-coding RNA. RefSeq lists it as uncharacterized. The record is from RefSeq and is a predicted model, not a curated record. The transcript has 3 exons. Lineage: Eukaryota; Viridiplantae; Streptophyta; Magnoliopsida; Poales; Poaceae.